GACGAACGCUGGCGGCGUGCUUAACACAUGCAAGUCGAACGGAAAGGCCCUGCUUUUGUGGGGUGCUCGAGUGGCGAACGGGUGAGUAACACGUGAGUAACCUGCCCUUGACUUUGGGAUAACGUCAGGAAACUGGGGCUAAUACCGGAUAGGAGCUCCUGCUGCAUGGUGGGGGUUGGAAAGUUUCGGCGGUUGGGGAUGGACUGGCGGCUUAUCAGCUUGUUGGUGGGGUAGUGGCUUACCAAGGCUUUGACGGGUAGCCGGCCUGAGGGGGUGACCGGCCGCAUUGGGACUGAGGUACGGCCCCGACUCCGACGGGAGGCAACAGGGGGGAAUAUUGCACAAUGGGCGGAAGGCGGAUGAAGAAACCCCGCGGGCGGGAUGACGGCCUUCGGGUUGUAAACCGCUUUCGCCUGUGACGAAGCGUGAGUGACGGUAAUGGGUAAAGAAGCACCGGCUAACUACGUG
Molecule: ribosomal RNA, 468 nt
Filed under: uncultured bacterium
Lineage: Bacteria
Description: partial 16S ribosomal RNA
Rfam family: Bacterial small subunit ribosomal RNA
Source: RNAcentral